UUCGCAAUGCCCGAAAGGGUGACGAAGCGACGCCGCGUGUGGGAAGAAGGCCUUCGGGUUGUAAACCACUGUCGGGAGUUAAGAAAUGCAAGGAUAUGAAUAGUGUCUUUGCUUGACUAAGGCUCCGGAGGAAGCCACGGCUAACUCUGUGCCAGCAGCCGCGGUAAUACAGAGGCGGCAAGCGUUGUUCGGAAUUAUUGGGCGUAAAGAGCACGUAGGCGGCUAUGAAAGUCGGUUGUGAAAGCCUUCCGCUCAACGGGAGAACAGCAUCCGAUACUACAUGGCUUGAGUGCGGGAGGGGAGAGCGGAACUUCUGGUGGAGCGGUGAAAUGCGUAGAUAUCAGAAGGAACGCCGGCGGCGAAAGCGGCUCUCUGGCCCAUAACUGACGCUGAGUGUGCGAAAGCUAGGGGAGCAAACGGGAUUAGAUACCCCGGUAGUCCUAGCCCUAAACGAUGGGCACUAAGUAGAGGGGUUUU
This 477-nucleotide ribosomal RNA is filed under the name uncultured bacterium. RNAcentral describes it as "bacterial SSU rRNA". It matches the Rfam family "Bacterial small subunit ribosomal RNA", at positions 365 to 832 of the family's 1533-position model. The record is from RNAcentral.